This 693-nucleotide long non-coding RNA is filed under the name Mus pahari (shrew mouse). RNAcentral's name for it is "lncRNA (MGP_PahariEiJ_G0012563.1)". Lineage: Eukaryota; Metazoa; Chordata; Mammalia; Rodentia; Muridae. The record is from RNAcentral.
AGUGCACUGACAGGAUCCUAAAGGCCACGAGACGCCUGGCACAUACCAGGAUGCGGCUCAGAGCUAUCUUUCUGUCACACCUCACUUGCUUCUAUCGCUUUUAGUGGUCCCGAGCCACAAGCAAGUGUGUGAUGCAUCCCCUCUGCUCCAAGUGGCAGGGACCCCUCGCGGUCACUUCGGAAGAACAGCCAGAGAAGGCCAGGGUCCAGGGCAGAAGCAGGGCAGAUGCAGGCCAGACCAGGGCGCGCUGUCCGGCAGACAGCCAGCUUGGUUUUCCACAAGCAUGAAGAGACAAGGAAAUCUGUGCGGAUCACAGGUCUAUUAUAAUAGUUUGGAAACAGCUCCUCCCUUGAAUUGCUUGCUUUGGAAUUAAGUGUAGAACAUCAAUUGAGUGAUAGAAGGUGAAACUAAGGGAAUAAAGGUUGGGAAAAUGAAGAACCCACAAAGAAGUGAAGACCAGCAACAGUACCUCCCAUGCCCACUCAUGCAGCUAACAGACAUAUUCACAGAUGCACACACACACACUCACACACACACACACACACAAGCUUGAAUGCACACUCAUGCAGUUAACUUAGCCUUACAGUAACACACAUGCAUGUUCUUCAAAUCCCCAUGCACUGUUAGUCUUUUUCACACAUGGAAACAGGCAGGCGGUAGCUGUGUCUGCUUAGCUGCAAACUGAUCAUUUGC